ACCUGGGUGGCUCAGUCAGUUGAGCAUCUGACUUUGCCUCAGGUCAUGAUCUCACAGUUUGUGGGUUCGAGCCCCACAUCAGGCU
This 85-nucleotide transfer RNA is filed under the name Felis catus (domestic cat). It matches the Rfam family "tRNA". From Rfam's summary of the family: Transfer RNA (tRNA) molecules are approximately 80 nucleotides in length. RNAcentral also lists the same sequence under 1 other name. The record is from Rfam by way of RNAcentral. Lineage: Eukaryota; Metazoa; Chordata; Mammalia; Carnivora; Felidae.